CAGCCGCCGCGGUAAAACGUAGGUCCCGAGCGUUGUCCGGAUUUAUUGGGCGUAAAGCGAGCGCAGGCGGUUAGAUAAGUCUGAAGUUAAAGGCUGUGGCUUAACCAUAGUACGCUUUGGAAACUGUUUAACUUGAGUGCAAGAGGGGAGAGUGGAAUUCCAUGUGUAGCGGUGAAAUGCGUAGAUAUAUGGAGGAACACCGGUGGCGAAAGCGGCUCUCUGGCUUGUAACUGACGCUGAGGCUCGAAAGCGUGGGGAGCAAACAGGAUUAGAUACCCCCGUAGUCCCUGUCUCUUAUACA
Molecule: ribosomal RNA, 301 nt
Filed under: uncultured bacterium
Lineage: Bacteria
Description: partial 16S ribosomal RNA
Rfam family: Bacterial small subunit ribosomal RNA
Source: RNAcentral